RNAcentral lists this ribosomal RNA (460 nucleotides) under uncultured bacterium. Its description in RNAcentral is "partial 16S ribosomal RNA". It matches the Rfam family "Bacterial small subunit ribosomal RNA", at positions 338 to 795 of the family's 1533-position model. The record is from RNAcentral.
CCUACGGAGGGCAGCAGUGAGGAAUAUUGGUCAAUGGGCGGAAGCCUGAACCAGCCAAGUAGCGUGCAGGAUGACGGCCCUACGGGUUGUAAACUGCUUUUAUACGGGAAUAACGCGCCUUACGUGUAGGGCUUUGCAUGUACCGUAUGAAUAAGGACCGGCUAAUGCCGUGCCAGGAGCCGCGGUAAUGCGGAAGGUCCGGGCGUUAUCCGGAGUUAUUGGGUUUAAUGGGAGCGUCGGCCGCAUGUCAAGCGUGCUGUGAAAUGUCCGGGCUCCACCCGGGCCUUGCAGCGCGAACUGGCGUGCUUGAGUCCGCGGAAAGCAGGCGGAAUUCGUCGUGUAGCGGUGAAAUGCUUAGAUAUGACGAAGAACCCCGAGUGCGAAGGCAGCUUGCUGCAGCGGAACUGACGCUGAUGCUCGAAAGCGCGGGUAUCGAACAGGAUUAGAUACCCUUGUAGUC